AGCGAACGCUGGCGGCAGGCCUAACACAUGCAAGUCGAACGAACUCUUCGGAGCUAGUGGCGGACGGGUGAGUAACACGUGGGAACGUGCCUUUAGGUUCGGAAUAACUCAGGGAAACUUGUGCUAAUACCGAAUGUGCCCUUCGGGGGAAAGAUUUAUCGCCUUUAGAGCGGCCCGCGUCUGAUUAGCUAGUUGGUGAGGUAAAGGCUCACCAAGGCGACGAUCAGUAGCUGGUCUGAGAGGAUGAUCAGCCACAUUGGGACUGAGACACGGCCCAAACUCCUACGGGAGGCAGCAGUGGGGAAUCUUGCGCAAUGGGCGAAAGCCUGACGCAGCCAUGCCGCGUGAAUGAUGAAGGUCUUAGGAUUGUAAAAUUCUUUCACCGGGGACGAUAAUGACGGUACCCGGAGAAGAAGCCCCGGCUAACUUCGUG
Molecule: ribosomal RNA, 433 nt
Filed under: uncultured bacterium
Lineage: Bacteria
Description: partial 16S ribosomal RNA
Rfam family: Bacterial small subunit ribosomal RNA
Source: RNAcentral